This 458-nucleotide ribosomal RNA is filed under the name uncultured bacterium. Its description in RNAcentral is "partial 16S ribosomal RNA". It matches the Rfam family "Bacterial small subunit ribosomal RNA", at positions 338 to 795 of the family's 1533-position model. The record is from RNAcentral.
CCUACGGGUGGCAGCAGUGAGGAAUAUUGGUCAAUGGGCGGAAGCCUGAACCAGCCAAGUAGCGUGCAGGAUGACGGCCCUACGGGUUGUAAACUGCUUUUAUACGGGAAUAACGCGCCUUACGUGUAGGGCUUUGCAUGUACCGUAUGAAUAAGGACCGGCUAAUUCCGUGCCAGCAGCCGCGGUAAUACGGAAGGUCCGGGCGUUAUCCGGAUUUAUUGGGUUUAAAGGGUGCGUAGGCGGACUGGAAAGUCAGCGGUAAAAUCUAGAGGCUCAACCUCUUUCCGCCGGUGAAACGGUCGGUCGUGGGUGGGCGAGAAGUAUGCGGAAUGGGUGGUGUAGCGGGGAAAGGCAUAGAUAGCACGCAGAACUCCGAUGGCGAGGCAGCAUACCGGCGCCCGACUGACGCUGAGGCACGAAAGCGUGGGUAUCGAACAGGAUUAGAUACCCCUGUAGUC